UACAGAGGGUGCGAGCGUUAAUCGGAAUUACUGGGCGUAAAGGGCGCGUAGGCGGUUAUGUAAGUUAGAUGUGAAAUCCCCGGGCUUAACCUGGGACUGGCAUGUAAGACUGUAUAGCUAGAGUAGAGUAGAGGAGAGUGGAAUUUCCGGUGUAGCGGUGAAAAUGCGUAGAUAUCGGAAAGAACAUCGGUGGCGAAGGCGGCUCUCUGGACUCAUACUG
RNAcentral lists this ribosomal RNA (220 nucleotides) under uncultured bacterium. Its description in RNAcentral is "partial 16S ribosomal RNA". It matches the Rfam family "Bacterial small subunit ribosomal RNA", at positions 524 to 742 of the family's 1533-position model. The record is from RNAcentral.